This 22-nucleotide small nuclear RNA is filed under the name Arabidopsis thaliana (thale cress). RNAcentral describes it as "snRNA_01180". The record is from RNAcentral. Lineage: Eukaryota; Viridiplantae; Streptophyta; Magnoliopsida; Brassicales; Brassicaceae.
UCUCCUAGUUUCUUUAAUGAGU